UACAGAGGGGGCAAGCGUUGUUCGGAAUUACUGGGCGUAAAGGGCGCGUAGGCGGCUUGCCAAGUCGGGGGUGAAAUCCGGCAGCUUAACUGUCGAAGUGCCUUCGAUACUGGCAAGCUCGAGGGAGGUAGGGGUCUGUGGAACUUCUGGUGGAGCGGUGAAAUGCAUUGAUAUCAGAAGGAACGCCGGUGGCGAAAGCGACGGACUGGACCUCUUCUGACGCUGAGGCGCGAAAGCUAGGGGAGCAAACGGG
This 253-nucleotide ribosomal RNA is filed under the name uncultured bacterium. RNAcentral's name for it is "partial 16S ribosomal RNA". It matches the Rfam family "Bacterial small subunit ribosomal RNA", at positions 524 to 776 of the family's 1533-position model. The record is from RNAcentral.